CCAUUCUCUCUCUCCUCCACUUUUUUUCUUCUUGCCCUCUUCUUCAUCUUCUCCUCUGUCCAAAGUGAUUUUCUUUAGGAUGAUAAAAUUGAAUUUUUCCAAAAUCAUUCUCUUAUAUAGAAUGUAGUUUUUUUCUCAUUUUUGAAACACAAUGGUACUCUAGUGUUCAACCCAAAAUAUGGUGAUAUUGGUUACACUUGGUUAUAACCUCUCUUCAAGAU
This 221-nucleotide long non-coding RNA is filed under the name Elaeis guineensis (African oil palm). Its description in RNAcentral is "long non-coding RNA (EGUI_LNC038390)". Lineage: Eukaryota; Viridiplantae; Streptophyta; Magnoliopsida; Arecales; Arecaceae. The record is from RNAcentral.